CCUACGGGAGGCAGCCGUGAGGAAUAUUGGUCAAUGGACGCAAGUCUGAACCAGCCAUGCCGCGUGCAGGAAGACGGCUCUAUGAGUUGUAAACUUCUUUUGUACGGGGACAAAUGCCGGUACGAGUCUCCGGUUGAAAGUAUCUUAAGAAUAAGGAUCGGCUAACUCCGUGCCAGCAGCCGCGGUAAUACGGAGGAUUCAAGCGUUAUCCGGAUUUAUUGGGUUUAAAGGGUGCGGAGGCGGUCCGUUAAGUUAGAGGGGAAAUCCCGGGGCUCAACUCCGGCACGGCCUCUGAUACUGGCGGGCUAGAGUUUAGGAGCGGUACGCGGAAUGUAUGGUGUAGCGGUGAAAUGCAUAGAGAUCGUACAGAACACCGAUUGCGAAGGCAGCGUACCAACUUACGACUGACGUUGAGGCACGAAAGCGUGGGGAUCAAACAGGAUUAGAUACCCGAGUAGUC
Molecule: ribosomal RNA, 460 nt
Filed under: uncultured bacterium
Lineage: Bacteria
Description: partial 16S ribosomal RNA
Rfam family: Bacterial small subunit ribosomal RNA
Source: RNAcentral